AUGGUACUAGUUGGAACCCUUUCUGAUGGCGAAACAUACUGUUAUUCUUAUGGACAGUCCCUGACCUCCUCUCCUUCUGUGGUGAAGAGGCCUGGAGAGUCAGUCACUCUGUCCUGUACUGUCUCUGGAUUCUCAGUGAGCAACUGGAUGAGCUGGAUCCGUCAGAAACCAGGACGAGGACUAGAGUGGAUCGGAUAUAUUGACAGUGGCACUGGCACAACAUUCGCUCAGUCUCUGCAGGGCCAGUUCUCCAUCACUAAAGACACCAAUAAAAACAUGCUGUACCUAGAAGUGAAGAGUCUGAAAGCUGAAGACACGGCUGUUUAG
Molecule: non-coding RNA, 327 nt
Organism: Ictalurus furcatus (blue catfish)
Lineage: Eukaryota; Metazoa; Chordata; Actinopteri; Siluriformes; Ictaluridae
Source: the annotation of a RefSeq genome assembly